AGAACCUCUAGAUAUUGAACCCAGCCCUUGUUACUGCAGACUCCAGCUGGCAGAAGAGGUACAUAUACUUCAAUUGAGUCUUAGAAGGUGUGCAUUCCCCUAAAAAAAAGAGGAAGUAGGAAGGGUUAAAUAGAAAGAUUCAAUAGGUUAUGUGGCAGGGUGGAUGAGGUCCAGAAGCCCCCUGCUGGAGGCCUCAUAGCCCUGCAUCACCCUGCCCCAGAAAAGAGCAUCAAGAAGUCCUCCAAGCAGGCUAGAGUGGCUGCUGAGGAGCGGCCAAUCAAAGAGGCUGAUGAAGCAGCCAAUCUGGAGCCAGAAGGGCCCUAUAUAAGACAAGAAGUUCAGGCUGCUGAAGACUGGGUGCCUGGCUGGUAGGAAGAAUAGCAAGACCAGCAGGCAGGCUGAAGCUCAGAGGGACUGAGAACAGAACUUGGCCAGGUCAGCGAGGGUACUGAGAGGGGCCCCAUUGUUCUGGUUGAAGACUGAGCCCAGAGAGGCCUGCUGAAACACUACCAGCUGUGGAUAGUGAGAUGGGCGGUGGAAGAAGGCAGUGCCUCUGAGAAGAAACCUAAGAGCUAAGGCCCCAUAGCAGGGACUGUAUACCCUGGAAGGGGGGAAUAGUGUAUGCGGCUCUGGCUGAGUUGCUGAAGACCUGCCGAGAGAACCAUAAACCAGGGGGCGCUCGCAAGAGGCGAGUGCCACCCUGAUAUAAAAACUAAAACCAAAAGCAGGCUUUCACUCAACCAACCAAGGGAGGCUGCCCAUGAGAGGUGGAUGCCACCUUGCUGAAAAGACUGUGAUUACAGGUACAUGGGCCAGAGAAAAGGGGGUGCUCACAAAGGGUGGGUGCCACCCUGUUACAGGUUAUUUAAGCCAAAUGGAUCAACUUCCAACUCAACAGAAUGCAAUAGAAAGAGCAUAAAAUAUGGCAGUUAAAUGUAAAAAUGGAAAUUUGGAGGGUUUGGCAAGACUUUGAAUGGUGAUUAGCCAAAGACACACACUCUUUCUAUAUAUCUAAGCAAGAAGCCUGUGCUAGAAUUGGUGAUCCCUCUGGCCUUGUAGGGAGUAAUUAAAAGAGUAUGGAGACACUGCAGAGGGAUUAAGGCCCCAAGCCUAAAUGUUUGCAGGAUUCGGACACAAAUAAUUUAUUUGUAUCAAUCGCCACCAGAGAGGAUGCUGGGGUGAUACCUAUGCUUUUUCAGGUAACAAAGAUGAGCCAAAGACUGAUGUGUCAAAAAUAGGAUUGCUGGAAUAAACCAGUAAAACAAAAUAGCAACCACUCACCUGGACCAGAUAGUUAAACUGAAGAAUGCUGGAGGAAUUUAAUAACGAAGUAAAGCUGCUAACCACUGAAAUCAGCUACUGUAGCUGAGACCUGGGAUAUCGUAAACACUGAAUCUAUAGCUAACUGUUGGGGUGAUCCCAGGAGCUACAGACUGGGUGAAAAUGAUAUGAUGGGGAAGCCAACACAACUUGUGUAAAGGAGACUGAUGGUGUUGGCACUCGGAUAUCAGGACUUGUGGAUGGUGCUGUUGUAAUGUGUGUCAAUGCGCGACUUGUGGACCAGGACCCGGAAGACCUGGCUUAACUGCAGCCUGCGCAUUCGUUUGUUUGGUAGCCCCCUUCACCAGAGUUAUCUGGGUGAAGAGCUCUGAAACCAUAGUCUGGCAG
Long non-coding RNA from Dermochelys coriacea (leatherback sea turtle), 1668 nucleotides. RefSeq lists it as uncharacterized. The record is from RefSeq and is a predicted model, not a curated record. The transcript is spliced from 3 exons. Lineage: Eukaryota; Metazoa; Chordata; Testudines; Dermochelyidae.